RNAcentral lists this ribosomal RNA (253 nucleotides) under uncultured bacterium. RNAcentral's name for it is "partial 16S ribosomal RNA". It matches the Rfam family "Bacterial small subunit ribosomal RNA", at positions 524 to 776 of the family's 1533-position model. The record is from RNAcentral.
UACGGAGGGUGCAAGCGUUGCUCGGAAUUAUUGGGCGUAAAGGGUAGGUAGGUGGUCUCAUUUGUCUAGGGUGAAAUCCUUGGGCUUAACUCAAGAACUGCCCUAGAAACGGUGAGACUCGAGUCCUGGAGAGGGUCGUGGAAUUCCCGGUGUAGCGGUGAAAUGCGUAGAGAUCGGGAGGAACACCAGAGGCGAAGGCGGCGACCUGGACAGGCACUGACACUCAACUACGAAAGCGUGGGGAGCAAACAGG